GAAAUUUAUUUCAAAAACAAACUUAGCUCCCACUUAAUUUAUUGGAGCUCCCAGUAUUUCUGCGGAUCCUAACACUCGGGUUAGGAAGCAGAAAUCCUUCGUGAGUGAAGGUUCCUAGCGGGAACUGCAGUCCCACUGAUUGGCACAUCACCUCACCUGACAAAUCUUGGUGAAUGUGUCAAUCAAUAGGUGGACAACUUUUGCCCAAUGCUUCUUAAGCAAAUUGCAGCAGACUUUGGAUCUCUAAGUCCUCAGAUCUCACCUGACAGAUUUUGGUCUUAUUUCUUAGUUAAGUCAGACCCACCAUUAAGCGUGAGUGAAGUCGUUAUUAGACCCUCACCUGAUAGAUCUUGAGCACAACCCCUAUCUCAACCCCGCAUUUAGAGUGGUUACUUCUUUCCUGAUGCAACUGAACCACUGUAUCCAGUCGAGAACAGUUAACAUUGAAGAGGGCACAGCAUUCUACAACGGUGAAAGACUCGACUUAAUAUUAUUAAGGAAAUUUUAAUUUAGGUCUCUUAAUUAGUCAUAACGGUUAUGACUAACCUAGUGGCAUGGGCUAGCUCGAGUUCAUCAAGUAAUCUAAUACAAAAACUAAUCUUCCAAAAUGAUCAGGUAAGUUAAGAUGUGUGGGGGUCCUCAGUUGUUUUUUU
RNAcentral lists this long non-coding RNA (653 nucleotides) under Elaeis guineensis (African oil palm). RNAcentral's name for it is "long non-coding RNA (EGUI_LNC066742)". The record is from RNAcentral. Lineage: Eukaryota; Viridiplantae; Streptophyta; Magnoliopsida; Arecales; Arecaceae.